Melopsittacus undulatus (budgerigar) is the source of this 529-nucleotide long non-coding RNA. RefSeq lists it as uncharacterized. The record is from RefSeq and is a predicted model, not a curated record. NCBI's taxonomy places the organism in Eukaryota, Metazoa, Chordata, Aves, Psittaciformes, Psittaculidae. The transcript is spliced from 4 exons.
CUAUUUACAGCAAACUUCCCACACUCUGUUGUCUUGUGAUAGAUCUGAACUUCACAGAAUCACAGGGGAUGGCACUGUACCCUUCUGUGCUGAAAAGAGCUUGAGAAGAAAACUAUGUAGUGCAAGAAGCAGAGAAGUGGGAAAGGGCAACACAAUAGUCUUCCAUGGAGAUGCUUCAAGACAUAUCUAUUUAUUUCUGAGGAGCUGGAAAGAAAGCUGAAGCCCUAAGAAACUGUGGGGCAUUUAUUAGCCUCUCACUAGCCAAGCUCAAGAAGUCCUAUGUUUCAAGCUGGCAGAAGACCUUAUACACAGUGUAACACCAUCCUGCUGAAGAAGGAGAAUCCAUAUGAGGACAAAUUGAACAUACAACUACAAAUGUACAAACUGGAGACCAAAGUGCUCACCUAAGAAUUAAAAUGUCUUGCUCAGAUUCUACAUGUUCUUGAAGAGCAAAUGGGCUUUGAGGAAUCUUUAAGGGAAAAUCAGUUUCCAGAUUUCAUGAUGAUUCUUCAGAACUUCAGUGAAGCUG